This 77-nucleotide ribozyme is filed under the name Crocodylus porosus (Australian saltwater crocodile). RNAcentral's name for it is "Mammalian CPEB3 ribozyme (ENSCPRG00005014779.1)". It matches the Rfam family "Mammalian CPEB3 ribozyme". Rfam says of the family: The mammalian CPEB3 ribozyme is a self cleaving RNA located in the second intron of the CPEB3 gene which belongs to a family of genes regulating messenger RNA polyadenylation. This ribozyme is highly conserved and found only in mammals. Lineage: Eukaryota; Metazoa; Chordata; Crocodylia; Crocodylidae. The record is from Rfam by way of RNAcentral.
AUACAUUCACAUAGUCCAUAACAGAAGAAUUCAUGUUGCAGCCCUUGUCAGAUUCUGAGGAAUCUGUGAAUUCUACU